CCUCACACUGCCAAGAAAAGCUUCUAGUGAGAAAGUAACUGCCCGUACCGCAAACCGACACAGGUAGUUGAGGAGAGAAUCCUAAGGUGUGCGAGAGAACUCUCGUUAAGGAACUCGGCAAAAUGACCCCGUAACUUCGGGAGAAGGGGUGCUGACCGCGAGGUCAGCCGCAGUGAAUAGGCCCAAGCGACUGUUUAUCAAAAACACAGGUCUCUGCAAAAUCGAAAGAUGACGUAUAGGGGCUGACGCCUGCCCGGUGCUGGAAGGUUAAGAGGAGAGGUUAGCGCAAGCGAAGCUUUGAAUUGAAGCCCCAGUAAACGGCGGCCGUAACAAUAACGGUCCUAAGGUAGCGAAAUUCCUUGUCGGGUAAGUUCCGACCCGCACGAAAGGCGUAACGAUUUGGGCACUGUCUCAACGAGAGACUCGGUGAAAUUAUAGUACCAGUGAAGAUGCUGGUUACCCGCGACAGGACGGAAAGACCCCAUGGAGCUUUACUGCAGUUUGAUAUUGCGUGUUUGUAUCACAUGUACAGGAUAGGUAGGAGCCGAAGAUACCGGGACGCCAGUCUCGGAGGAGGCAACGGUGGGAUACUACCCUUGUGAUAUGACCACUCUAACCCGCUGCUCUUAGCGAGCAGGGAGACAGUGUCAGACGGGCAGUUUGACUGGGGCGGUCGCCUCCAAAAAUGUAACGGAGGCGCCCAAGGGUUCCCUCAGAAUGGUUGGAAAUCAUUCGUAGAGUGUAAAGGCAGAAGGGAGCUUGACUGCGAGACCUACAAGUCGAGCAGGGACGAAAGUCGGGCUUAGUGAUCCGGUGGUUCCGCAUGGAAGGGCCAUCGCUCAACGGAUAAAAGCUACCCUGGGGAUAACAGGCUUAUCUCCCCCAAGAGUUCACAUCGACGGGGAGGUUUGGCACCUCGAUGUCGGCUCAUCGCAUCCUGGGGCUGUAGUCGGUCCCAAGGGUUGGGCUGUUCGCCCAUUAAAGCGGUACGCGAGCUGGGUUCAGAACGUCGUGAGACAGUUCGGUCCCUAUCCGUCGCGGGCGUUGGAAAUUUGAGAGGAGCUGUCCUUAGUACGAGAGGACCGGGAUGGACACACCGCUGGUGUACCAGUUGUUCUGCCAAGAGCAUCGCUGGGUAGCUAUGUGUGGACGGGAUAAACGCUGAAAGCAUCUAAGCGUGAAGCCCCCCUCAAGAUGAGAUUUCCCAUCACUUUAAGUGAGUAAGACCCCUGAGAGAUGAUCAGGUAGAUAGGUUGGGAGUGGAAGUACAGCGAUGUAUGGAGCGGACCAAUACUAAUCGGUCGAGGACUUAACCG
RNAcentral lists this ribosomal RNA (1316 nucleotides) under metagenome. RNAcentral describes it as "bacterial LSU rRNA". It matches the Rfam family "Bacterial large subunit ribosomal RNA", at positions 1598 to 2925 of the family's 2925-position model. The record is from RNAcentral.